GAUGAACGCUGGCGGCGUGCCUAAUACAUGCAAGUCGAGCGAACAGACGAGGAGCUUGCUCCUCUGACGUUAGCGGCGGACGGGUGAGUAACACGUGGAUAACCUACCUAUAAGACUGGGAUAACUUCGGGAAACCGGAGCUAAUACCGGAUAAUAUAUUGAACCGCAUGGUUCAAUAGUGAAAGACGGUUUUGCUGUCACUUAUAGAUGGAUCCGCGCCGCAUUAGCUAGUUGGUAAGGUAACGGCUUACCAAGGCAACGAUGCGUAGCCGACCUGAGAGGAUGAUCGGCCACACUGGAACUGAGACACGGUCCAGACUCCUACGGGAGGCAGCAGUGGGGAAUCUUCCGCAAUGGGCGAAAGCUUGACGGAGCAACGCCGCGUGAGUGAUGAAGGUCUUCGGAUCGUAAAACUCUGUUAUUAGGGAAGAAAAAAUGUGUAAGUAACUAUGCCCGUCUUGACGGUACCUAAUCAGAAAGCCACGGCUAACUACGUG
Molecule: ribosomal RNA, 497 nt
Filed under: uncultured bacterium
Lineage: Bacteria
Description: partial 16S ribosomal RNA
Rfam family: Bacterial small subunit ribosomal RNA
Source: RNAcentral